ACCUGUGUGUCUGAGGUUAAACGAAAAAAAGUAAUUAAGAAUGUUAUUUUUUGGUCAUUUGGAUUUAUUUUUAAUGUAUUUGUCAAAGCUAAUAUGAGAUUUAGCAUCUACUGCUGGCCUACGCCUGUUCUGGUUGGUGCUCCGGAGUCUCAGCAGGUUGGACUCGCACGAUGACGCGUUUGGCACCGUCCGAUCAGUCUGCGGCGCUCUCCGUCAUCGGACCGACACUUUCCCGUGCGAAAUUUGCACACGCGGGGACGAAGACACGGAUGCGUCUCCGUCCGCCGUCUGUGUCAUCCAAUGGGGCCCUGGAACCCGCCACGAUCGCAGCAGGAGAUCCAUUUGUCAAACAGAUUGGGGUCAAGAGCACUGGAGAGGGGAGAAAGUCGACCUCAAAAGGUGCACAGAUGACACCGCUCCCUUUCCAAACAUGUGGAAAUGAACGUGCGACCUGGAAAUGAACGUGCGAGUACAGCCUGCGAGCCUUGGGGGCCCACAAGGAUCAAUCCUGCUUUGGAGCCGAAUCCGAUGCCACUUUUCUGCAGACUGGGCGAUUUCAAACGGCGUUUCAAGCGUCCGUCAGUGGCGGUCGAUCCCGGAGUGAUGACAGUCAACCGUUGACCUCUAACGUUUGUCAUCGUUUUCUUUUUCACGACCCCGCUGACCAUCAACCGAUCAGUCUCCUCGGGCCACGGCUGACUCCCAAGACAAAGCCAGCACACUCACACGACUCCAAUUAUUAUAUCAGGUCUCCGCUUUUCAGGCUUAGAAGGAUGUUUUUGUGUUUGUUUGAGAAAUUAUGGGCGUCCGGUCUGCAAGGGGGAAGGGGGGGGGGGGGGCAACAUUACCUGGGUUACAAAAUAGAGCAAUCACAAUGCUUUCACAAUGCUUUUUGUCUCUCUUUUCACGUACCAGUAGCGCGCGGUGCAACCUGACCCUCCGACUCUUUUAGCGUUGUGUUUACCUAAACGUCUCUGAGGGACAGGCCGCGGCGAUUAUUGAGUGGACAUCCUUUCAACGUUCCACUCAGCAGCAGGAUUCCCAUGCAGUCAAAAGCAUUGUUCUUACACAGGCAGCAGCUUAGACACACAACUCACACCAGACUGUCCUUUGUGUAUUUUUUGUCUGUUUGUUCUUUAUCCGUGUAAAAGUUCUUUGUUUCUAAAAUAAAAAAGAAGUCAGUUGUUGAACUGAAAUUGGCUCUUCUCUGAGGUCCCACCAAAGAUUGUGGUUCCAUGCAUCACCUCGGGGGUUGCUUUUAAGAACUCGGGAUGUCGUCGACGCAAACCGAGUUUGAUUUUUGUCCCUUU
This 1310-nucleotide long non-coding RNA is filed under the name Takifugu rubripes (torafugu). RNAcentral's name for it is "lncRNA (ENSTRUG00000032146.1)". The record is from RNAcentral. Lineage: Eukaryota; Metazoa; Chordata; Actinopteri; Tetraodontiformes; Tetraodontidae.